Molecule: ribosomal RNA, 253 nt
Filed under: uncultured bacterium
Lineage: Bacteria
Description: partial 16S ribosomal RNA
Rfam family: Bacterial small subunit ribosomal RNA
Source: RNAcentral
UACGGAGGGAGCUAGCGUUGUUCGGAAUUACUGGGCGUAAAGCGCACGUAGGCGGCUUUUUAAGUCAGGGGUGAAAUCCCGGGGCUCAACCCCGGAACUGCCCUUGAAACUGGAGAGCUAGAAUCUUGGAGAGGCGAGUGGAAUUCCGAGUGUAGAGGUGAAAUUCGUAGAUAUUCGGAAGAACACCAGUGGCGAAGGCGACUCGCUGGACAAGUAUUGACGCUGAGGUGCGAAAGCGUGGAGAGCAAACAGG